UACAUUUUAAGGACACGUCAGUCAAUCAGUGCAGAGUAUAAAACCCAUAGUGGUAGCAGAAGGUCAGACUGAGUAAAGCAGGGAGACAGUAUAGGAGGAGGUGGAAAGCUUCCACUGCAUGCGUACAGACACAUCAGUGAGUCAUUGA
Long non-coding RNA from Sebastes umbrosus (honeycomb rockfish), 148 nucleotides. RefSeq lists it as uncharacterized. The transcript has 4 exons. The record is from RefSeq and is a predicted model, not a curated record. NCBI's taxonomy places the organism in Eukaryota, Metazoa, Chordata, Actinopteri, Perciformes, Sebastidae.